AUUGAACGCUGGCGGCAUGCCUUACACAUGCAAGUCGAACGGUAACAGGUCUUCGGAUGCUGACGAGUGGCGAACGGGUGAGUAAUACAUCGGAACGUGCCCGAUCGUGGGGGAUAACGGAGCGAAAGCUUUGCUAAUACCGCAUACGAUCUACGGAUGAAAGCAGGGGACCGCAAGGCCUUGCGCGAACGGAGCGGCCGAUGGCAGAUUAGGUAGUUGGUGGGAUAAAAGCUUACCAAGCCGACGAUCUGUAGCUGGUCUGAGAGGACGACCAGCCACACUGGGACUGAGACACGGCCCAGACUCCUACGGGAGGCAGCAGUGGGGAAUAUUGGACAAUGGGCGAAAGCCUGAUCCAGCAAUGCCGCGUGAGUGAUGAAGGCCUUAGGGUUGUAAAGCUCUUUUGCCAGGGAUGAUAAUGACAGUACCUGGAGAAUAAGCUCCGGCUAACUCCGUG
This 457-nucleotide ribosomal RNA is filed under the name uncultured bacterium. Its description in RNAcentral is "bacterial SSU rRNA". It matches the Rfam family "Bacterial small subunit ribosomal RNA", at positions 30 to 507 of the family's 1533-position model. The record is from RNAcentral.